GACGAACGCUGGCGGCGUGCUUAACACAUGCAAGUCGAACGGAAAGGCUCUGCUUUUGUGGGGUGCUCGAGUGGCGAACGGGUGAGUAACACGUGAGUAACCUGCCCUUGACUUUGGGAUAACUUCAGGAAACUGGGGCUAAUACCGGAUAGGAGCUCCUGCUGCAUGGUGGGGGUUGGAAAGUUUCGGCGGUUGGGGAUGGACUCGCGGCUUAUCAGCUUGUUGGUGGGGUAGUGGCUUACCAAGGCUUUGACGGGUAGCCGGCCUGAGAGGGUGACCGGCCACAUUGGGACUGAGAUACGGCCCAGACUCCUACGGGAGGCAGCAGUGGGGAAUAUUGCACAAUGGGCGGAAGCCUGAUGCAGUAACGCCGCGUGCGGGAUGACGGCCUUCGGGUUGUAAACCGCUUUCGCCUGUGACGAAGCGUGAGUGACGGUAAUGGGUAAAGAAGCACCGGCUAACUACGUG
Molecule: ribosomal RNA, 468 nt
Filed under: uncultured bacterium
Lineage: Bacteria
Description: partial 16S ribosomal RNA
Rfam family: Bacterial small subunit ribosomal RNA
Source: RNAcentral